GUGAGCAGAAAGACAGGCUCUUCCGGCAGUGGGACCAGCUCAGGGACAAGUCUCUGCAAGGGCCGGCCGAGGCCCCAGGGCCCAGACGCGUGGGCGGUGGGGGGACCCUGGGGCGCUCUCGGCCCUGAGUGCCGGGGUCCCAGGUGUGGUCCUGGGCUGGAGCUUCCUUUACCUUCAGAUUCCAGCUGUGUCUGUUCAACCUCAGAGGUCGAGGGCUUUUCAUGUCUGCUCCCAGCUCCGGGCGCAGGCCCUGGCACGUUGUCAGAGGAAGGGGUGGAUGGUGCAGCCCCAGAGGAUGGCCGGGUCAGACUCCCUUCCCUCCUUCCAGGCGGCCGGGGAGGAAGUAGGGCAGCCUGUCAGGUUGGCGGGGGCUGUCCUGGGCACCCCCUCCCUGUGUGUUCUCUCUUCUGGCUUUGUCUGCUCCAGGGUCCCUACCAGGGACACCAUCCCUUACCUGUCCUGUGCCUGCAACUUCUCUGGGCCUCACACCCGCUGCAGGUGCCCCUUUGGUGCCCGCAGCCCCCACGCUGCCCCGGAAGCAAGUAUUUUCUGAGCUGUGUCGCAAAUGCCAGUUUGUCCCCAUUGCUCCCCCAAAUCGGGAGGGAGCGCCUCAGAUUCUGUUUUGGCCUCCUCGCAGUGCCUGGCCUCGGCUGGCCGGCUCAUCCAUUCAACAGCGUUUUCCUGAAGCCCUGCCUAGGAGCCAGGCCUUGUUCUCCACCCAGGAGACACAGCAGGGGCUCCCUGCUCUCGGGAAGCUCCCACUUUACGGGGCAGGAGACAUCAAACAAGGAAGGACCCAGACAGCUCCUUUUGAUGGGAGUAGGUGUCAUCAGUAAGACAAGGCAGGGUGAGGCGGCCCAGGAACGGACGCAUUCCUCCUCCCUGAGAGGCGGCGAUCAAGCGGAGCUGUGCACAGAUCUGAGUACCACCGACCUUUCUCAGCAGAGGGAGGAGCUGCAGAGCUCCCUAAGGAGGCGCUGUUCCUGUUUCCCACGUUUGAUGGAGAAGAUGAAGCUGAUGCCGGGGAAGACGGGGCAAGCGGGGCGGGGCGGGGCGGGGGCAGGCCUCUUGUAUGGAAUCGCAGCACACGGCAAGGGACUUAGGGUUUAUUCAGAUCGGGAAGGGCCGUGA
Molecule: long non-coding RNA, 1131 nt
Filed under: Oryctolagus cuniculus (rabbit)
Lineage: Eukaryota; Metazoa; Chordata; Mammalia; Lagomorpha; Leporidae
Description: lncRNA (ENSOCUG00000039588.1)
Source: RNAcentral